GAGGUCUGACCCCGCCGGAGCCGGCGUGGCGCCUCGGGUGACCGCUUGGGGUCGCCGUGCAACCCGGUCAUCAUGCUCCGGCGCUCGGCCGCCCCUCCCUGUGACGAGGCCCCCAGCGCCAGCAGCAGAUUCAAGCUCUUCUACGACGACGGCGCCGGAUCCGGCCUCCGCCCGCUGCCCGAGAGCAUGUCCGACUUCCUCAUGGGGCCCGGAUUUGAGCGGCUCCUCGAGCAGCUCGCCCAGAUCGAGGCCGGCGGCUUCGGCGCCAUCCUCCCCUACGACAACCCGCUGGCCUGCAAGGCCGCCGUCGAGUCCAUGCCCACCAUCGUCGUCGCCGCCUGCCCUGGCAACGUCGGCGCCGACUCCCACUGUGCCGUCUGCAAGGAGGCCUUCGAGCUGGGCGACUAGGCCAGGGAGACGCCCUGCAGCCACAUUUACCACCAGGACUGCAUCCUGCAAUGGCUCGCGCUGUGUAACUCGUGUCCCGUGUGCCGGCACGAGCUGCCCACAGAUGUGGCGCAGCCUGCUCCGGCAAGUGACCUCGGCGCCGCCGACGACCGGGGCAGCAACACUGGCGAGGCUGGCAGUGAGGAGGAGACGACGGUCGGGUUGACGAUUUGGCGGCUCCCAGAUGGAGGCUUUGCUGUUGGGAGGUUCGCUGGUGGAAGAAGGGACGACGAGAGGGAGUUCCCGAUUUUGCUGUAA
RNAcentral lists this ribosomal RNA (705 nucleotides) under Triticum aestivum (bread wheat). Its description in RNAcentral is "partial small subunit ribosomal RNA". Lineage: Eukaryota; Viridiplantae; Streptophyta; Magnoliopsida; Poales; Poaceae. The record is from RNAcentral.